GUUAUAGGAUCAAGCGACUAAGUGCAUGUGGUGGAUGCCUUGGCGAUCACAGGCGAUGAAGGACGUGCAAGCCUGCGAAAAGCACGGGGGAGCUGGCAAUGGAGCUUUGAUCCCGUGAUGUCCGAAUGGGGAAACCCACUCCGCAAGGAGUAUCCCUGGCUGAAUACAUAGGCCAGAGGAGGCGAACCGAGCGAACUGAAACAUCUAAGUAGCUCGAGGAACAGAAAUCAACCGAGAUUCCGUCAGUAGUGGCGAGCGAAAGCGGAUCAGCCUGCACGACUAAACCAUCUUGUUAGCAGAACGGUCUGGAAAGUCCGGCAAUAAAGGGUGAUAGCCCCGUAUGCGAAAACAAGGUGGCGGGUCUGAGCGUGCGACAAGUAGGGCGGGACACGUGAAAUCCUGUCUGAAGAUGGGGGGACCAUCCUCCAAGGCUAAAUACUCGUGAUCGACCGAUAGUGAACCAGUACCGUGAGGGAAAGGCGAAAAGAACCCCGGGAGGGGAGUGAAAUAGAUCCUGAAACCGCAUGCAUACAAACAGUGGGAGCCUCCUUGUGGGGUGACUGCGUACCUUUUGUAUAAUGGGUCAGCGACUUACGUUAUGUUGCGAGCUUAACCGAAUAGGGGAGGCGUAGCGAAAGCGAGUCUGAUAAGGGCGCUUUAGUAGCAUGAUGUAGACCCGAAACCGGAUGAUCUAUCCAUGGCCAGGAUGAAGGUGCCGUAACAGGUACUGGAGGUCCGAACCCACUAACGUUGAAAAGUUAGGGGAUGAGCUGUGGAUAGGGGUGAAAGGCUAAACAAAUCCGGAAAUAGCUGGUUCUCCCCGAAAACUAUUUAGGUAGUGCGUCGUACGGACACUUGCGGGGGUAGAGCACUGUAAUCGUUGGGGGGGUCAUUGCGAUCUACCCCGCGAUAGCAAACUCCGAAUACCGCAAAGUGAUAUACGGCAGACAGACAGCGGGUGCUAACGUCCGUUGUCAAGAGGGAAACAACCCAGACCGCCAGCUAAGGUCCCAAAUGCAUGGCUAAGUGGCAAACGAAGUGGGAAGGCAUAGACAGCUAGGAGGUUGGCUUAGAAGCAGCCACCCUUUAAAGAAAGCGUAAUAGCUCACUAGUCGAGUCGUCCUGCGCGGAAGAUGUAACGGGGCUCAAGCCAUGAACCGAAGCUGCGGAUGCACGCAAGUGCAUGGUAGGGGAGCGUUCCGUAAGCCUGUGAAGGUGUCUCGUAAGGGAUGCUGGAGGUAUCGGAAGUGCGAAUGCUGACAUGAGUAGCGAUAAAGGGAGUGAAAAGCUCCCUCGCCGAAAGCCCAAGGUUUCCUGCGCAACGUUCAUCGGCGCAGGGUGAGUCGGCCCCUAAGGCGAGGCUGAAAAGCGUAGUCGAUGGGAAACGGGUCAAUAUUCCCGUACCGGUCAUAGAUGCGAUGGGGGGACGGAGAAGGUUAGGUCAGCCGGGUGUUGGACGUCCCGGUUUAAGCGUGUAGGCAUGCACCGUAGGCAAAUCCGCGGAGCUAAGCUGAGGCGUGAUGACGAGGUCUCUUUGAGACCGAAGUGAUUGAUACCAUGCUUCCAGGAAAAGCCUCUAAGCUUCAGUCUAUGAUCGACCGUACCGCAAACCGACACAGGUGGGCAGGUUGAAAAUACCAAGGCGCUUGAGAGAACUCAGGAGAAGGAACUCGGCAAAUUGAUACCGUAACUUCGGGAGAAGGUAUGCCCCAUUAGCUUGUAGGAGAACAUCCGAAGGGCGAAGGGGCCGCAGAGAAUCGGUGGCUGCGACUGUUUAUUAAAAACACAGCACUGUGCAAAAUCGAAAGAUGACGUAUACGGUGUGACGCCUGCCCGGUGCCGGAAGGUUAAGUGAUGGGGUGCAAGCUCUUGAUCGAAGCCCCGGUAAACGGCGGCCGUAACUAUAACGGUCCUAAGGUAGCGAAAUUCCUUGUCGGGUAAGUUCCGACCUGCACGAAUGGCGUAACGAUGGCCACACUGUCUCCUCCUGAGACUCAGCGAAGUUGAAGUGUUUGUGAAGAUGCAAUCUCCCCGCGGCAAGACGGAAAGACCCCAUGAACCUUUACUGUAGCUUUGCAUUGGACUUUGACGGGACUUGUGUAGGAUAGGUGGGAGGCUUUGAAGUGGGGACGCCAGUUCUCAUGGAGCCAACCUUGAAAUACCACCCUGGUGUCGUUGAGGUUCUAACCCAGGCCCGUGAAUCCGGGUCGGGGACCGUGCAUGGCAGGCAGUUUGACUGGGGCGGUCUCCUCCCAAAAGGUAACGGAGGAGUACGAAGGUCGCCUAGACACGGUCGGACAUCGUGUUGAUAGUGCAAUGGCAAAAGGCGGCUUGACUGCGAGACCGACAAGUCGAGCAGGUGCGAAAGCAGGUCAUAGUGAUCCGGUGGUUCUGUAUGGAAGGGCCAUCGCUCAACGGAUAAAAGGUACUCUGGGGAUAACAGGCUGAUUCCGCCCAAGAGUUCACAUCGACGGCGGAGUUUGGCACCUCGAUGUCGGCUCAUCACAUCCUGGGGCUGUAGCCGGUCCCAAGGGUAUGGCUGUUCGCCAUUUAAAGUGGUACGUGAGCUGGGUUUAAAACGUCGUGAGACAGUUUGGUCCCUAUCUGCCGUGGGCGCUGGAAGUUUGAGGGGACCUGCUCCUAGUACGAGAGGACCGGAGUGGACGCACCUCUGGUGUACCGGUUGUGACGCCAGUCGCAUCGCCGGGUAGCUAAGUGCGGAAGAGAUAACCGCUGAAAGCAUCUAAGCGGGAAACUCGCCUCAAGAUGAGACUUCCCCGGGGCCUCGAGCCCCCUGAAGGGUCGUUGAAGACCACAACGUUGAUAGGUCGGGUGUGGAAGCGUGGCAACACGUGUAGCUAACCGAUACUAAUUGCCCGUGCGGCUUGAUCCUAUAACCUUGCG
This 2904-nucleotide ribosomal RNA is filed under the name Pseudothauera lacus. Its description in RNAcentral is "bacterial LSU rRNA". It matches the Rfam family "Bacterial large subunit ribosomal RNA". Lineage: Bacteria; Pseudomonadati; Pseudomonadota; Betaproteobacteria; Rhodocyclales; Zoogloeaceae. The record is from RNAcentral.